UGAGGAAUAUUGGGCAAUGCCCGCAAGGGUGACCCAGCAACGCCGCGUGGAGGAUGAAUGUCGUAAGAUUGUAAACUCCUGUUAGAGGGGAAGAAUAGUACCGGUUGGACCGGUAUAUGACUGUACCCUCAGAGAAAGCCCCGGCUAACUACGUGCCAGCAGCCGCGGUAAUACGUAGGGGGCAAGCGUUGUCCGGAUUUACUGGGUGUAAAGGGCGCGCAGGCGGGAUAAUAAGUCAGUGGUGAAAUCCUACAGCUUAACUGUAGAACUGCCUUUGAUACGUUUAUGCUUGAGUUCGGGAGAGAGAGACGGGAUUCCGGGUGUAGUGGUGAAAUACGUAGAUAUCUGGAAGAACACCAGGUGCGAAGGCGGUCUCUUGGUCCGACACUGACGCUGAGGAGCGAAAGCGUGGGGAGCAAACA
RNAcentral lists this ribosomal RNA (422 nucleotides) under uncultured bacterium. Its description in RNAcentral is "bacterial SSU rRNA". It matches the Rfam family "Bacterial small subunit ribosomal RNA", at positions 355 to 774 of the family's 1533-position model. The record is from RNAcentral.